RNAcentral lists this unclassified non-coding RNA (387 nucleotides) under soil metagenome. Its description in RNAcentral is "partial contains 5.8S ribosomal RNA, internal transcribed spacer 2, and large subunit ribosomal RNA". The stretch from base 1 to 120 matches the Rfam family "5.8S ribosomal RNA", at positions 35 to 154 of the family's 154-position model. The record is from RNAcentral.
GAUGAAGAACGUAGCGAAAUGCGAUAAGUAAUGUGAAUUGCAGAAUUCAGUGAAUCAUCGAAUCUUUGAACGCACCUUGCACCCUUUGGCAUUCCGAAGGGUAUGCUCGUUUGAGUGUCAUUGUACUCUCACACUCUCCGAUCCUAUGGAUUCGGGGAGCGGUGGACUUGGGUGUUGCUGCCUUUCCCUGUGGCUCACCUCAAAUGCGUCAGUGCACCUCUUGGUUGGACAUAGUACGGCGUGAUAAGUGUCUUCGCCGGCACCUCGCAAGAGGGUGGCCGAUCGGGAGCUCUGCGCUUUCAAACCGUCUUCGGACAAUUUCUGACAUCUUGACCUCAAAUCGAGUAGGACUACCCGCUGAACUUAAGCAUACCAAUAAGCGGAGGA